RNAcentral lists this ribosomal RNA (500 nucleotides) under uncultured bacterium. RNAcentral's name for it is "partial 16S ribosomal RNA". It matches the Rfam family "Bacterial small subunit ribosomal RNA", at positions 30 to 523 of the family's 1533-position model. The record is from RNAcentral.
AUUGAACGCUGGCGGCAUGCCUUACACAUGCAAGUCGAACGGCAGCACGGGAGCAAUCCUGGUGGCGAGUGGCGAACGGGUGAGUAAAGUAUCGGAACGUGCCCAGUCGUGGGGGAUAACGUAGCGAAAGUUACGCUAAUACCGCAUACGAUCUAUGGAUGAAAGCGGGGGAUCGCAAGACCUCGCGCGAUUGGAGCGGCCGAUAUCAGAUUAGGUAGUUGGUGGGGUAAAGGCUCACCAAGCCGACGAUCUGUAGCUGGUCUGAGAGGACGACCAGCCACACUGGAACUGAGACACGGACCAGACUCCUACGGGAGGCAGCAGUGGGGAAUUUUGGACAAUGGGCGCAGGCCUGAUCCAGCCAUGCCGCGUGCAGGAUGAAGGCCUUCGGGUUGUAAACUGCUUUUGUACGGAACGAAAAGGUUUGACUUAAUACGUUGGACUCAUGACGGUACCGUAAGAAUAAGCACCGGCUAACUACGUGCCAGCCGCCGCGGUAA